Molecule: ribosomal RNA, 553 nt
Filed under: uncultured freshwater bacterium
Lineage: Bacteria
Description: bacterial SSU rRNA
Rfam family: Bacterial small subunit ribosomal RNA
Source: RNAcentral
AGAGUUUGAUCCUGGCUCAGAACGAACGCUGGCGGCAUGCCUAACACAUGCAAGUCGAACGAGACCUUCGGGUCUAGUGGCGCACGGGUGCGUAACGCGUGGGAAUCUGCCCUUGGGUUCGGAAUAACAGUUGGAAACGACUGCUAAUACCGGAUGAUGACGUAAGUCCAAAGAUUUAUCGCCCAAGGAUGAGCCCGCGUAGGAUUAGCUAGUUGGUGAGGUAAAGGCUCACCAAGGCGACGAUCCUUAGCUGGUCUGAGAGGAUGAUCAGCCACACUGGGACUGAGACACGGCCCAGACUCCUACGGGAGGCAGCAGUGGGGAAUAUUGGACAAUGGGCGAAAGCCUGAUCCAGCAAUGCCGCGUGAGUGAUGAAGGCCUUAGGGUUGUAAAGCUCUUUUACCCGGGAUGAUAAUGACAGUACCGGGAGAAUAAGCUCCGGCUAACUCCGUGCCAGCAGCCGCGGUAAUACGGAGGGAGCUAGCGUUGUUCGGAAUUACUGGGCGUAAAGCGCACGUAGGCGGCUUUGUAAGUUAGAGGUGAAAGCCUGGAG